GACGAACGCUGGCGGCGUGCUUGACACAUGCAAGUCGAACGGUAAGGCCCUUCGGGGUACACGAGUGGCGAACGGGUGAGUAACACGUGGGUGAUCUGCCCUGCACUUCGGGAUAAGCCUGGGAAACUGGGUCUAAUACCGGAUAGGACCCUGGGAUGCAUGUCCUGGGGUGGAAAGCUUUUGCGGUGUGGGAUGGGCCCGCGGCCUAUCAGCUUGUUGGUGGGGUGAUGGCCUACCAAGGCGACGACGGGUAGCCGGCCUGAGAGGGUGACCGGCCACACUGGGACUGAGAUACGGCCCAGACUCCUACGGGAGGCAGCAGUGGGGAAUAUUGCACAAUGGGCGCAAGCCUGAUGCAGCGACGCCGCGUGAGGGAUGACGGCCUUCGGGUUGUAAACCUCUUUCAGCACCGACGAAGCGCAAGUGACGGUAGGUGCAGAAGAGGGACCGGCCAACUACGUGCCAGCAGCCGCCGUAA
This 478-nucleotide ribosomal RNA is filed under the name uncultured bacterium. RNAcentral's name for it is "partial 16S ribosomal RNA". It matches the Rfam family "Bacterial small subunit ribosomal RNA", at positions 28 to 523 of the family's 1533-position model. The record is from RNAcentral.